GAUGAACGCUGGCGGCGUGCUUAACACAUGCAAGUCGAACGAAGCAAUUGGAGUGCUUGCACUUUAAUUGACUGAGUGGCGGACGGGUGAGUAACGCGUGGGUAACCUGCCUCACACAGGGGGACAACAGUUGGAAACGACUGCUAAUACCGCAUAAGCGCACAGAAUCGCAUGAUUCAGUGUGAAAAACUCCGGUGGUGUGAGAUGGACCCGCGUCUGAUUAGCUAGUUGGUGAGGUAACGGCUCACCAAGGCGACGAUCAGUAGCCGGCCUGAGAGGUCGAACGGCCACAUUGGAACU
RNAcentral lists this ribosomal RNA (300 nucleotides) under uncultured bacterium. RNAcentral describes it as "bacterial SSU rRNA". It matches the Rfam family "Bacterial small subunit ribosomal RNA", at positions 28 to 320 of the family's 1533-position model. The record is from RNAcentral.